ACCGGCGGCUCGAGUGGUGGCCACUAUUACUGGGCUUAAAGCGUUCGUAGCUGGCUUGUUAAGUCUCUGGGGAAAUCUUCCGGCUCAACCGGAAGGCGUCUCAGGGAUACUGGCAGGCUAGGGACCGGAAGAGGUGAGAGGUACGCCAGGGGUAGGAGUGAAAACCUGGAAUCCGUGGGGGAACACCUAUGGCGAAGGCGUCACACCAGGACGGCUCCGACAGUGCGGCACGUAACCUAGGAGAGCAAACAG
Molecule: ribosomal RNA, 252 nt
Filed under: uncultured prokaryote
Description: partial 16S rRNA
Rfam family: Archaeal small subunit ribosomal RNA
Source: RNAcentral